RNAcentral lists this ribosomal RNA (464 nucleotides) under uncultured bacterium. RNAcentral's name for it is "partial 16S ribosomal RNA". It matches the Rfam family "Bacterial small subunit ribosomal RNA", at positions 28 to 507 of the family's 1533-position model. The record is from RNAcentral.
GACGAACGCUGGCGGCGUGCUUAACACAUGCAAGUCGAACGGAAAGGCCCCUUUGGGGGUCCUCGAGUGGCGAACGGGUGAGUAACACGUGAGUAACCUGCCCUUGACUUCGGGAUAACUUCAGGAAACUGGGGCUAAUACCGGAUAGGAAUCCUUGCUGCAUGGUGGGGGUUGGAAAGCUUCGGCGGUUUUGGAUGGACUCGCGGCUUAUCAGCUUGUUGGUGGGGUAGUGGCUUACCAAGGCUUUGACGGGUAGCCGGCCUGAGAGGGCGACCGGCCACAUUGGGACUGAGAUACGGCCCAGACUCCUACGGGAGGCAGCAGUGGGGAAUAUUGCACAAUGGGCGGAAGCCUGAUGCAGCAACGCCGCGUGCGGGAUGACGGCCUUCGGGUUGUAAACCGCUUUCAGCAGGGGCGAAGCUUUUGUGACGGUACCUGCAGAAGAAGCACCGGCUAACUACGUG